UACUAAUCUGCCUUAGUUUAUUUUACAACAGCAUACUUCUAUUUGCCAUGAAAUAUCUUUAUAGUAAACAAUGAAACUUUUCAUAAUGCUAAGUCCUAAUCAAAAAUCAAUAAUGCAAUAAUUCCCACAUAGUUUGUUUUCCCACAAUACAAAAUCUUGGAGAAGAGCUUAAGGAAUUGCAUAUUUCCAUGUGAAAUACAGCUAUAUUAUACCACUUUGAUGUUUUAUUAUACCAUGUGGCUUUACUUUAUUGAGGAGGAUGAAGAAUAGAUUAGGGAUAGGUAGAUGAGAUGAUGACAUCCAUGUCUGAUUUCCUGUCAGAGAAAAUUAGAUAUAGUUACAUCUGUUUUCAGUCUAAUAUCCUGAUGGACAUUUUCAGCAAGAUUUUUUAGGAAAGAAGCACAGGAAUUCCACUGCAAGGUAUUAAUAGGUACAAAUUUAAGAUUUUGGAAAUGAAUGCAGUAUUAUCCUAUAUAUAUCUUUUUAAAAAGAUAAUGAAGGUAGUGAAUGGCCUUAAUUAUGGCAGAAAAAAAGUUACUAUUUGGUUCCUUAGUUGAAUACGAUCAAUAACCAGCCUAAAAGGGAAACAUUUUGCUCUCCAAACACCCAUCCUGUUGCUUCAUUUAUUAUGGUACUCAGUUGGAAGGGUAUUACCAGAGGAUUUUAAAAAAUUAUGUAACUCACAAUGUAUUUUUUCGGUCAUUAAACAAUCACUGAACACAUACUAUGUGUCAGACACUAAAGCCCUCUGAAGAUGAAAUGUUAUGGAAAUAGUAAUAAUAAAAAAUUAAAAUAGUAACAAUAAAAAAUUAAAAAUGCAAGUGUUAAUAUUAUUAAUCUUUCAAGAUACAGGUCAAAUGACAGCAUUCAAUUUGCUAUUCUCUUCUCUCUGCUUCUACACCUUGUACAAAUAUUUUUGUCCAUGUUUGUGUACCUACCUACUGAGCUCCCUAAAGAGGUAGAGACCUUUGGGUUAUUCAUUUUUGUAUUCCCGAGAGCCUAACAUAGGGUUUUUGCUACAGAUCAAGCAGGGGGUCAGUAAAUGCUAGUUGGAAUGAGGGAAUUAACAUAGUACUGCACCAUUUAGUAUUCAAUUAAGAAGAUAGUUGUCCAAACACUAAAUUUCUUUCUUAAAAGUAGUUACUGUAAUGUAGUUGCUCUCUUGUUAUCCCAGAACUUGAAUUACCAUAAGAAGUUGUGAAUUUCUAUUUGAUUGUAUGUAUUUUGAUUAUAUUUCAAGAUGGUUUAUCAUCUAGCAAACAGUCUAAUAGAGCAGAUUCAAACUUGCAAAAUAAAUGAAACCUGUAUAGUCUCUAAAAGUUUGUAUGCCCUAGAAGUUCACAUUGAAUUUCGAUGAAAACGACUCGCUUCCCUUCCAUCCAAUUGCUUGCGACUGUCUU
This 1400-nucleotide long non-coding RNA is filed under the name Homo sapiens (human). RNAcentral's name for it is "HSALNT0285866". Lineage: Eukaryota; Metazoa; Chordata; Mammalia; Primates; Hominidae. The record is from RNAcentral.